CCCUUUCCACAAAAUCUUCCUCCCGAAAUAAGUCUGCUCGUUACUUUAAAAAAAUUCUUAAGUUACCUCCAAAAGCUCUAGGGUUAAAUAAAAAGCUCCCUUCCGAAUUUGUUCUCCGACAACAAAAAUGGCAGUGAGGUUCCUAAUCUCAAGAACUUCACCAAAGAGUCUCCACCAACUUCUGCAGCCUAGUCUCCAAAAAUCUUCCCCAGUUUCUCAAUUCCUCAGACAUAUGCAUUCCUUCAUUUCCCCAGAAUUCAAUUUCCGAAAUUCCUGUCCUCAAAAUUCCAGGGGCAUGGUCUCUGCUCCUGAUUACGGUCUUGAAGAAGCUGGUGCCGCUGCUCUCAGCCUCGAUAAUCGCGUUCCAGCAACUGUAAUAACUGGGUUUCUUGGCUCUGGGAAGACCACUCUUCUCAAUCACAUUCUUACAUCUCAACAUGGCAAGCGGAUUGCAGUCAUAGAGAAUGAGUUUGGUGAGGUGGAUAUUGAUGGAUCAUUGGUUGCUAGCCAUUCUUCUGCCAGUGACGACAUAGUUAUGGUUAACAAUGGUUGCCUGUGCUGUACUGUGAGAGGAGAUCUGGUUAAAAUGCUGUUGGAGUUGGUCAAGAAAAAAAGGGACAAAUUUGAUCACAUUGUUAUUGAAACCACGGGACUUGCUAAGCCUGGCCCUGUCAUAGAAACAUUCUGUUCUGAUGAACUAGUUUCACGUCAUGUGAAACUGGAUGGAGUUGUUACCAUGGUUGAUUCCAAACAUGCCAUGCAACACUUGAAUGAAGUUAAACCCAGAUUUGUGGUGAAUGAGGCGGUAGAACAAAUUGCAUAUGCCGACCGAAUUAUACUGAACAAGAUAGAUUUGGUGUCCGAGACUGAAUUACAGAGUUUGACACACCAAAUCAAGCAUAUUAAUGGUAUGGCUCCAAUUAAGCUGGCCAAAUAUGGAUCUGUAGACAUGGACUUUGUCUUGGGAGUAGGAGGAUAUGAUCUUGAAAGGAUUGAUUCUGAAGUUCAUAUAGACGAUUUAUGUAGUGCAACGCGUGAACAUGAGGCUGCACAAGAGGAUCAUGAGGGCCAUCAUCAUCAGGAAUGUAAAUCCCAUCAUGACCAUGUGCAUGAUUCUAGCGUCUCUAGUGUCAGUAUUGUCUCUGAGGGAACUCUGGACCUCGAUGAGGUUGAUGAUUGGCUUGAAAGACUAAUUGAAGAAAAUGGUGAGGACCUGUACAGGAUGAAAGGCGUCUUAUCUGUAGCAAGUUCUGAUCAGCGAUAUAUUUUUCAGGGGGUGCAUUCUACAUUAGAUGGUUGCCCAGGCAAACCAUGGGGGCCUGAUGAACAGAGAAUAAACAAGAUUGUGUUCAUAGGAAGAAAUUUGAAUGAAACUGCUCUCAGAAAAGGUUUCAAAGGUUGUC
This 1403-nucleotide unclassified non-coding RNA is filed under the name Hevea brasiliensis (rubber tree). The record is from RNAcentral. Lineage: Eukaryota; Viridiplantae; Streptophyta; Magnoliopsida; Malpighiales; Euphorbiaceae.